UACGUACCGGACGAACGUUAUUCGGAAUUACUGGGCUUAAAGAGUGCGUAGGCGGCUUUGAAGGUGGGGUGUGAAAGCCCACGGCUCAACCGUGGAAUGGCGCUCCAAACCGCAUGGCUUGAGGAAGACAGAGGUGAGCGGAACUGAUGGUGGAGCGGUGAAAUGCGUUGAUAUCAUCAGGAACACCCGUGGCGAAGGCGGCUCACUGGGUCUUAUCUGACGCUGAGGCACGAAAGCUAGGGGAGCGAACGGG
This 253-nucleotide ribosomal RNA is filed under the name uncultured bacterium. RNAcentral describes it as "partial 16S ribosomal RNA". It matches the Rfam family "Bacterial small subunit ribosomal RNA", at positions 524 to 776 of the family's 1533-position model. The record is from RNAcentral.